This 377-nucleotide ribosomal RNA is filed under the name uncultured bacterium. RNAcentral describes it as "bacterial SSU rRNA". It matches the Rfam family "Bacterial small subunit ribosomal RNA", at positions 523 to 898 of the family's 1533-position model. The record is from RNAcentral.
AUACGUAGGGGGCGAGCGUUGUCCGGAAUUACUGGGCGUAAAGGGUGCGUAGGCGGCAUGUUAAGUUGGAUGUGAAAUACCCGGGCUCAACCUGGGGGGUGCAUCCAAAACUGGCAAGCUAGAGUGCAGGAGAGGAAAGCGGAAUUCCUAGUGUAGCGGUGAAAUGCGUAGAUAUUAGGAGGAACACCAGUGGCGAAGGCGGCUUUCUGGACUGCAACUGACGCUGAUGCACGAAAGCGUGGGGAGCAAACAGGAUUAGAUACCCUGGUAGUCCACGCUGUAAACGAUGAAUACUAGGUGUAGGGGGUAUCAACUCCCUCUGUGCCGCAGCUAACGCAAUAAGUAUUCCGCCUGGGGAGUACGGCCGCAAGGUUGAA